Molecule: ribosomal RNA, 465 nt
Filed under: uncultured Klebsiella sp.
Lineage: Bacteria; Pseudomonadati; Pseudomonadota; Gammaproteobacteria; Enterobacterales; Enterobacteriaceae
Description: bacterial SSU rRNA
Rfam family: Bacterial small subunit ribosomal RNA
Source: RNAcentral
CCUACGGGUGGCAGCAGUGGGGAAUAUUGCACAAUGGGCGCAAGCCUGAUGCAGCCAUGCCGCGUGUGUGAAGAAGGCCUUCGGGUUGUAAAGCACUUUCAGCGGGGAGGAAGGCGUUAAGGUUAAUAACCUUGUCGAUUGACGUUACCCGCAGAAGAAGCACCGGCUAACUCCGUGCCAGCAGCCGCGGUAAUACGGAGGGUGCAAGCGUUAAUCGGAAUUACUGGGCGUAAAGCGCACGCAGGCGGUCUGUCAAGUCGGAUGUGAAAUCCCCGGGCUCAACCUGGGAACUGCAUUCGAAACUGGCAGGCUAGAGUCUAGUAGAGGGGGGUAGAAUUCCAGGUGUAGCGGUGAAAUGCGUAGAGAUCUGGAGGAAUACCGGUGGCGAAGGCGGCCCCCUGGACAAAGACUGACGCUCAGGUGCGAAAGCGUGGGGAGCAAACAGGAUUAGAUACCCCGGUAGUC